RNAcentral lists this ribosomal RNA (465 nucleotides) under Vreelandella stevensii. RNAcentral's name for it is "partial 16S ribosomal RNA". It matches the Rfam family "Bacterial small subunit ribosomal RNA", at positions 338 to 795 of the family's 1533-position model. The record is from RNAcentral. Lineage: Bacteria; Pseudomonadati; Pseudomonadota; Gammaproteobacteria; Oceanospirillales; Halomonadaceae.
CCUACGGGGGGCAGCAGUGGGGAAUAUUGGACAAUGGGGGGAACCCUGAUCCAGUCAUGCCGCGUGUGUGAAGAAGGCCCUCGGGUUGUAAAGCACUUUCAGUGAGGAAGAACGCCUGGUGGUUAAUACCCAUCAGGAAAGACAUCACUCACAGAAGAAGCACCGGCUAACUCCGUGCCAGCAGCCGCGGUAAUACGGAGGGUGCGAGCGUUAAUCGGAAUUACUGGGCGUAAAGCGCGCGUAGGUGGCUUGAUAAGCCGGUUGUGAAAGCCCCGGGCUCAACCUGGGAACGGCAUCCGGAACUGUCAAGCUAGAGUGCAGGAGAGGAAGGUAGAAUUCCCGGUGUAGCGGUGAAAUGCGUAGAGAUCGGGAGGAAUACCAGUGGCGAAGGCGGCCUUCUGGACUGACACUGACACUGAGGUGCGAAAGCGUGGGUAGCAAACAGGAUUAGAUACCCUUGUAGUC